GCUGGGCGUGGUGGUGCUCACCUGAAAUCCCAGCAGCUUGGGAAGCUGAGGCAGGAGGAUGGCGAGUUCAAAGCCAGCCUCAGCAAAAGCGAGGUGCUAAGCAACUCAGUGAGACCCUGUCUCUA
Molecule: small RNA, 125 nt
Filed under: Marmota monax (woodchuck)
Lineage: Eukaryota; Metazoa; Chordata; Mammalia; Rodentia; Sciuridae
Source: RNAcentral